CUUUCUUUAAGAGUUUAAGUUACUUUAUAGAUACUGGAGAACCUAACUUAAAAUCUACAGUAAAUUCUUCAGGUUUCUAGGGAGAACGUUUACCACACAUGAACAAAUUAAAAGGGGAGAGGGGUAUAAGAAUUGUUCAUAACUAUUGGACUAAACAUGUGGGGGGACUUUAAAAAAUCAGGGUCUACAAACAGAGAAGCAGCAUAUAGGAUCUUAUUGCAAGUCUGGUAUACCAUGAAAGCUUGGGAGCUGGGUAAUAGCCUUUGUGUCUUCACGGUGUAAAACAUAUCUGGCCAUUCCUUAAUACAAAACUAGAUCAUUUUCUCGAGGUAACUGUAUGAUUAAAUAUUUCUUUUGUAUGAUGUGUAGCUGAUUGUGCGGAAGAACAGGGCUUGUGAAUACAUUUAAAUAUUUGAUGCAUCAUCUCAUAUCAACCAUUUGUCGAUGGAGAAAUGUUGAUAUAACUGUAUAUGAUGAAUAGGAAUGAGACAUGUCAUAUAAGAUUAUACCCCAGCGAUUAACUGAUCUGCCAUGUUAGUCCACUUAUUAUGAUCUUAAAUUUUGAAUUUUGACCUGACACCUUCCUAAAAUAUCUUUGUACAACCUACUGGAGUCCAUGUUUUUAUUUAAUACAAUGGGGAUCAUAGUUCACUUAUUCACGGGGCUUGAUCCUUAGAACUUCUGUAUUAGUAAGAACGUCUUGUAUUAUCUUCUUUUAUUAUUUCUGAGUUCCGAUAUAAGUUUUUGGCAGACCAAAACAAUUCACAUACAUUGGAAAUUUAUGAAGAUAAGAAUGGAAAGUAUAAGCUAUAUGUACAGAACAUCCAUUUGACAAAAUUUCCAUGCUUGGCGUACCUAUGAACAGAUGGAAUGUAAAACACCUCAAGUGAGCUUCUUGUCUUCUUAAUUAGUCCAGAUCCAGGUGUGAAUCGUUGCUGAGUACCCAGAUUUAAAUGUGUGCCUCCAUUUCAUUCUACUUCGCCCAAUACCUUGACUUUGUUUGAAAACAUGUGGGCAAUUUCUAUUAUUCAUGAAGUUUUUGUCUAACUCUCGACUUUAUGUUUUACCGCAUCUUUCUAGAUGUGGUUCUGCUAUCAGAAAGACCGUACAGGCCUGUUAUUUUGUAUGUUCAAGUGUUGCUCAUGGUUCAGGUAAAACACCAUUUCUCCAUCUUUGUGUCUGCUACCCUUGUUUCUGGUUCAUGGAGACCAUCAAAAUCCCUCCCGCCAUCAUUCUGGAAGCAAUGUUGAAAAAGUUACCCUUUUACUUCCCCAAGGAUGAAAGCCAUGCCAUCGGAGGAAGCUUCUUUCAGAUUGAUGUGAUGUUUUAUUCUUCUGCCUGUUUUUCCCAAUCUUCACUCCAUCCCCACUCGCUGUUCAGCCAUCCAACAUUGUCCUUGGAAAAAGCAGCACCGUCGUCUUCAUCGCCCCUCAGCGAACAUGACUAUGCACACCGACGAGGAGAGGGACAGAGGAGAAGGCCGUUUUCCUCGCCCCUUCGCGCUCGGGUAGCCAGCUUUGCCACCGCGUCUUCAUCGUCGCUGAGGAUGUAGGCCAGCAUCCUCUGAUUCUUCUUCAUCUGGGACCUGCAUCGGUUAGGUACAUCAAAAAUGGCACCAACAUGGCGGUUGCAGAUUUUAACUAUAAUCAUUGGAAGACAUAGAAGACUAGAACAAAUCUCGUAUGCAUCAUCUCAUAGAAUCUGAUGAAACUAAGAAAAUGUUUGGUAGAGAUUGUGGCUUCUUGCUGUCAUACAUAUGUUUUCCUUCUCUAAGAAAAUACAAAUCAUCGUGCUUCUUAACUACUCUCUUAAAAAAGUUCUAUCCAUGAAAUUUGGAAUA
Molecule: non-coding RNA, 1840 nt
Organism: Lolium perenne
Lineage: Eukaryota; Viridiplantae; Streptophyta; Magnoliopsida; Poales; Poaceae
Source: RefSeq, a predicted model, not a curated record